UACGUAGGGGGCAAGCGUUGUUCGGAAUUACUGGGCGUAAAGCGCGUGUAGGCGGUCUGGCAAGUCAGAUGUGAAAGCCCCGGGCUCAACUUGGGAACUGCAUUUGAUACUGCCAAGCUAGAGUACAGAAGAGGUGACUGGAAUUCCCAGUGUAGCGGUGAAAUGCGUAGAUAUCGGAAGGAACGCCGGUGGCGAAAGCGACGUGCUGGAUCUCUUCUGACGCUGAGGCGCGAAAGCCAGGGGAGCGAACGGG
This 253-nucleotide ribosomal RNA is filed under the name uncultured prokaryote. RNAcentral describes it as "partial 16S ribosomal RNA". It matches the Rfam family "Bacterial small subunit ribosomal RNA", at positions 524 to 776 of the family's 1533-position model. The record is from RNAcentral.